Molecule: ribosomal RNA, 253 nt
Filed under: uncultured bacterium
Lineage: Bacteria
Description: partial 16S ribosomal RNA
Rfam family: Bacterial small subunit ribosomal RNA
Source: RNAcentral
UACGUAGGGUGCAAGCGUUAUUCGGAAUUACUGGGCGUAAAGCGUGCGCAGGCGGCUUUGCAAGACAGAUGUGAAAGCCCCGGGCUUAACCUGGGAAUGGCAUUUGGGACUGCAAGGCUGGAGUGUGGCAGAGGAGACUGGAAUUCCUGGUGUAGCAGUGAAAUGCGUAGAGAUCGGAAAGAACACCAACGGCGAAAGCACUCUGCUGGGCCGACACUGACACUGAGAGACGAAAGCUAGGGGAGCGAAUGGG